AAGUACCUGGAGGAAGAGAAAGAAAAAUCGAUUUCCUGAGUAGCGGCGAGCGAAACGGAAAGAGCCCAAACCAAGAAGCUUGCUUCUUGGGGUUGUAGGACACUCUAUACGGAGUUACAAAAGAAAGUUAUAAAUGAAGCGGUCUGGAAAGGCCCGCCAAAGACGGUAACAGCCCGGUAGUUGAAAUGGCUUUCCCUCCAGAGUGGAUCCUGAGUACGGCGGAACACGUGAAAUUCCGUCGGAAUCCGGGAGGACCAUCUCCCAAGGCUAAAUACUCCCUAGUGACCGAUAGUGAACCAGUACCGUGAGGGAAAGGUGAAAAGCACCCCGGAAGGGGAGUGAAACAGUUCCUGAAACCGUGUGCCUACAAGUAGUUAGAGCCCGUUAAUGGGUGAUAGCGUGCCUUUUGUAGAAUGAACCGGCGAGUUACGAUUUGUUGCAAGGUUAAGCGGAAAAAGCGGAGCCGUAGCGAAAGCGAGUCUGAAUAGGGCGCAUAAGUAACAGGUCGUAGACCCGAAACCAGGUGAUCUACCCAUGUCCAGGAUGAAGGUAAGGUAAUACUUACUGGAGGUCCGAACCCACGCACGUUGAAAAGUGCGGGGAUGAGGUGUGGGUAGCGGAGAAAUUCCAAUCGAACUUGGAGAUAGCUGGUUCUCUCCGAAAUAGCUUUAGGGCUAGCCUCGAGGUAAAGAGUCAUGGAGGUAGAGCACUGUUUGGACUAGGGGCCCUUCUCGGGUUACCGAAUUCAGAUAAACUCCGAAUGCCAUGUACUUAUACUCGGGAGUCAGACUGCGAGUGAUAAGAUCCGUAGUCGAAAGGGAAACAGCCCAGACCACCAGUUAAGGUCCCCAAAUAUAUGUUAAGUGGAAAAGGAUGUGGGGUUGCUUAGACAACCAGGAUGUUGGCUUAGAAGCAGCCACCAUUGAAAGAGUGCGUAAUAGCUCACUGGUCGAGUGACCCCGCGCCGAAAAUGUACCGGGGCUAAACAUAUUACCGAAACUGUGGAUGAACCUCUUUAGAGGUUCGUGGUAGGAGAGCGUUCUAAGGGCGGUGAAGUCAGACCGGAAGGACUGGUGGAGCGCUUAGAAGUGAGAAUGCCGGUAUGAGUAGCGAAAGAAGGGUGAGAAUCCCUUCCACCGAAUAUCUAAGGUUUCCUGAGGAAGGCUCGUCCGCUCAGGGUUAGUCGGGACCUAAGCCGAGGCCGAUAGGCGUAGGCGAUGGACAACAGGUAGAGAUUCCUGUACC
This 1245-nucleotide ribosomal RNA is filed under the name Listeria monocytogenes. Its description in RNAcentral is "partial 23S ribosomal RNA". It matches the Rfam family "Bacterial large subunit ribosomal RNA", at positions 204 to 1445 of the family's 2925-position model. Lineage: Bacteria; Bacillati; Bacillota; Bacilli; Caryophanales; Listeriaceae. The record is from RNAcentral.